This 237-nucleotide ribosomal RNA is filed under the name uncultured bacterium. Its description in RNAcentral is "partial 16S ribosomal RNA". It matches the Rfam family "Bacterial small subunit ribosomal RNA", at positions 29 to 299 of the family's 1533-position model. The record is from RNAcentral.
AACGAACGCUGGCGGCAGGCUUAACACAUGCAAGUCGAACGCACCGCAAGGUGAGUGGCAGACGGGUGAGUAACGCGUGGGAAUCUACCCAGAACUUCGGAACAACUGAGGGAAACUUCAGCUAAUACCGGAUACGCCUACGGGGAAGAUUAUCGGUUCUGGAUGAGCCCGCGUUGGAUUAGCUAGUUGGUGAGGUAAUGGCUCACCAAGGCGACGAUCCAUAGCUGGUCNGAGAGG